Molecule: unclassified non-coding RNA, 253 nt
Filed under: uncultured Saprospiraceae bacterium
Lineage: Bacteria; Pseudomonadati; Bacteroidota; Saprospiria; Saprospirales; Saprospiraceae
Description: contains 16S-23S intergenic spacer region
Rfam family: Bacterial small subunit ribosomal RNA
Source: RNAcentral
UACGGAGGGUGCAAGCGUUAUCCGGAAUCACUGGGUUUAAAGGGUGCGUAGGCGGCUUAGUAAGUCAGAGGUGAAAGGUUGCAGCUUAACUGCGAGAGGGCCUUUGAUACUGCAAAGCUUGAAUCAGAUAGAGGUUAGUGGAAUGCGACAUGUAGCGGUGAAAUGCAUAGAUAUCACAUAGAACACCGAUCGCGAAGGCAGCUUGCUAAACUAUAACUGACGCUGAGGCACGAAAGCAUGGGUAGCGAACAGG